GUGCUCACUUUGGCAGCUCAGAUUCUAACGUCAGAACAAUACAGACUCGAUUCACCUGCCCUUGCCAAGGAUGACAUGCACACUCAUGAACUGUUCCAAAUUUUC
Small nuclear RNA from Ochotona princeps (American pika), 105 nucleotides. NCBI's taxonomy places the organism in Eukaryota, Metazoa, Chordata, Mammalia, Lagomorpha, Ochotonidae. The record is from Ensembl.